CGUGUGGUGUCCGGCUCCGGGCCUGGAUAGCGACACGGCCUUUGAGAGGU
This 50-nucleotide non-coding RNA is filed under the name unclassified sequences. Its description in RNAcentral is "L31-Gammaproteobacteria ribosomal protein leader". It matches the Rfam family "L31-Gammaproteobacteria ribosomal protein leader". RNAcentral also lists the same sequence under 2 other names. The record is from RNAcentral.